This 347-nucleotide ribosomal RNA is filed under the name uncultured bacterium. RNAcentral describes it as "partial 16S ribosomal RNA". It matches the Rfam family "Bacterial small subunit ribosomal RNA", at positions 338 to 696 of the family's 1533-position model. The record is from RNAcentral.
CCUACGGGUGGCUGCAGUCGAGAAUCAUUCACAAUGGGGGAAACCCUGAUGGUGCGACGCCGCGUGGGUGAAUGAAGGUCUUCGAAUGGUAAACCCCUGUCAUGGGGUAGCAAAUAAUAACGAUAGUACCACAGGAGGCAGCGACGACUAACUCUGUACCAGCCGCCGCGGUAAUACGGAGGUCUCAAGCGUUGUUCGGAAUCACUGGGCGUAAAGGGGGCGGCGGCUGUUCUGCAAGUCGUGUGUGAACGCGGCGGGCUCAACCUGGGGGCUGAAUAUGAUACUGCGAGACUAGAGUAGUGGAGGGGGAACCGGAAUUCCCGGUGUAGCGGUGAAAUGCGUAGAUA